CUGACAGGCAUGGGAUCAAGGAAGGUUCUAGUCCAGGACUGUUAUACCAUAAUUCCUAUUUUUAUGAUAAGUAAUGUUCUUUAAGAAAUUCUUUGAAGUGCUUUAAAUGGGAGAUAGAAUCAGAUACAUUUUGUAUUUCUUUGCCACAGUAUCCCUUGCAGUCAUUUUCUAUGGACUAGUUUGCAUUUGAUAGGAUCUUGCCAGAUCUCCAUUGCAUUUCACUUUGCCCUGCAAGGAGACUAGGUGGUGGGACAGGUUUCCUGUUUUGUUAUUUCAGCAAUAAUGGGUUUUUAUUCUUCAGGUCCAUGAUGAGACGGGGUGGAUUUGGGUUAUUAGGAGUUGAGAUAGGAUCCUACUUGGAUCAUAAAAACCUGUCUUGAACCCUCCAUAUUGCCAUCUCAGUUUGAAGUCUAGAGAUAGAACUUGUAUGUUAUAUUCAUGUUUUAUUUUUGGGACUUGUUUUAGCAUUAUUAUAAACAAUCAAUUUCUAUUACGUUUCAUGCACAUUACAUGGCAUAAGAACUCAUAAAUCAUAAUUGAUGCACUGAAUUUGACUGAGUCGGUUCCUUUGGACCAUUUCCUCAUACUCAGUCCUGUUUAUUGGAUUUUAUUCUGAUUCAAUUUUCCAACUGAUAUCUUGAAGCUGGAAAUUUUAUGU
Telopea speciosissima is the source of this 658-nucleotide long non-coding RNA. RefSeq lists it as uncharacterized. Lineage: Eukaryota; Viridiplantae; Streptophyta; Magnoliopsida; Proteales; Proteaceae. The transcript is spliced from 2 exons. The record is from RefSeq and is a predicted model, not a curated record.